RNAcentral lists this ribosomal RNA (243 nucleotides) under Clostridioides difficile. Its description in RNAcentral is "partial 16S ribosomal RNA". It matches the Rfam family "Bacterial small subunit ribosomal RNA", at positions 1018 to 1262 of the family's 1533-position model. Lineage: Bacteria; Bacillati; Bacillota; Clostridia; Peptostreptococcales; Peptostreptococcaceae. The record is from RNAcentral.
UUCGGGGACAUUGGUGACAGGUGGUGCAUGGUUGUCGUCAGCUCGUGUCGUGAGAUGUUGGGUUAAGUCCCGCAACGAGCGCAACCCUUGUCUUUAGUUGCCAUCAUUAAGUUGGGCACUCUAGAGAGACUGCCAGGGAUAACCUGGAGGAAGGUGGGGAUGACGUCAAAUCAUCAUGCCCCUUAUGCUUAGGGCUACACACGUGCUACAAUGGGUAGUACAGAGGGUUGCCAAGCCGUAAGG